This is an RNA transcript of Panicum virgatum (switchgrass), 2650 nucleotides long. It is a transcript of the gene named protein trichome berefringence-like 7, with no coding region annotated. The transcript has 5 exons. Lineage: Eukaryota; Viridiplantae; Streptophyta; Magnoliopsida; Poales; Poaceae. The record is from RefSeq and is a predicted model, not a curated record.
AACCACCGCGAGCGCCGCCUCAGCCAGUCAGCCCCUCAGCUCUCCUCGGACCCGGCCUCGCCGCGCGGGAGCGAGCUCACCUCGCCACGGCACCAACACCAUCCGCGGAGUCGCGACCCGUCCGGUUCUGUUGCUAGAUCGGGAGCUCUUGCUGCUUUUGGGUCUUGUCGCGGCAGCACCGCACAGCACCGGCGAUCGCGGUCGACGGAGUCCGGUGAGUCCCUGAUCUGCCCUGGCGCCCUGCAUCGGCUGUCGUCGUCUUUGCCUCCCGACGACCGGCUCGGAGCUCCCUGAUCUCGGCAGCUGCGCGCGGGCUUUGGACUGGGGCAGCGCUACUCGAUCCAGUCGGUUCGCCGGGCGAAUUUGAAUCGCGGAGGCGGAAGGUCAAACACCGAAGAUAUUCAUCGCCGGUGCUGCUGGAUUGGGAGGAAGCCGCCGCGCCUUCGAGAUUCCAAGUGAUUUUGGUUCGGUAGAGCUGCGCGCCUUGAAUUGGUCGGAGAGGCCGAUUCGGCAGCUGGGGAGAGCUGUCGAAUGGGAGAUCGCGCGGCGGCGGCCGCGGAGGGGAGAUGGUGAGCGGGAGCUUCAGCCGGAGCACAUCGGCGCGGCUCGCAGCGAGGGGCGGCGUCGGGAGCCCGCGGGUCUCCACGCCGGGGGCCGCGCACCGGAACUGGUGGGCGGCGGCGCCGUCGGGGACGUCAUUCGAGCGCGUCGCAUUCGCCUUCUUCCUGGCCUCCCUCGCGCUCGUGCUCUCCUGCGCGCUGUACCUGUACGUCUUCCGGCACCCGGGCCGGGACCGUGUGGUCGCCGAGUUCGCCGGCGGCGAGAAUCUCGAGUCCUGCGACGUGUUUGACGGCAUCUGGGUGCCCGAUGAGAGGUACCCCCUGUACAACAGCUCCCGGUGCCCGUUUGCGGAGAGGGGGUUCAAUUGCCUGGCCAAUGGGAGGAAGGACACCGAGUAUCUCAAGUGGAGGUGGAAGCCUCGGGGAUGCGAUUUGCCGCGGUUCAGUGCCCGGUCUGUGCUGGAGUGGCUGAGAGGGAAGAGGGUCGUGUUUGUGGGGGAUUCCAUGAGCAGAACGCAGUGGGAGUCCUUCAUUUGCAUGCUCAUGACUGGGGUGGAUGAUCCAGAUACGGUUUAUGAGGUUAAUGGCAACCAAAUCUCAAAGACAAUCCGGUUUUUAGGAGUGAGAUUUGAGUCGUUCAACCUUAGUGUGGAGUUCUUCCGGUCUGUGUUCCUUGUGCAGCAGAUUCCUGCGCUUCGCCAUGGGCGUAGAAGGGUCCGUGCCAUCCUCAAGCUCGAUAAGUUGGAUGAUUUAAGUAGGAAAUGGGCAGAUUCAGAUGUGCUUAUUUUCAACUCAGGACAUUGGUGGACUGCCAGCAAAUUAUUUGACAUGGGUUGCUAUUUUGAGGCUGGAGGUGUGCUUAAACUGGGAACAUCCAUUAAUGCUGCUUUCAAAAUGGCACUGGAAACUUGGGCCUCAUGGGUGAAACAGAGAGUUGAUUUACGACGAACGCGUGUGUUCUUCCGUACAUAUGAACCAUCUCACUGGAGUGGCUUAAAUCAAAAGGUUUGUGAAGUAACAGAACAACCUACAACUGAGGCCAAAGGAGAUGACCGGAGAGAAUUUGGGGAUAUACUUGCUGAUGUCGUGGCGAAUACAAGUGUCCCUGUCACUGUACUAAAUGUGACUUUGAUGGGGGCCUUCAGAAGUGAUGCUCAUAUUGGCCUUUGGAGUCAUCCUAAUACCAUACUUGAUUGCAGCCACUGGUGCCUUCCUGGAGUUCCAGAUGCUUGGAAUGAACUUGUAUUUUCCCAUCUGUUGACAAAUGGUUGGCGAGGGCUGGUUAGCUGACUGUUGACAUGAUAUACUCAUUUUCUUUCAGUUUCAUCAUUUACGUCAUCUUCAGCUAGGAAAGGAGGGUUUUGUCGCUUGCGCGAUUGCAUCGGCGCCUCAGCGCCAGCCAACUGCCCAGGUCAGCCCGCCGGUGCACCGACCAUUACGCUGUGAACCUGUGAUCCCGUGACCUGGUCGGCAGCGGGCGGCCUCGCAACUCGCAACAUGAGAAAAGGCACCCUGUCACCAUUCCGCGACUGUGCCAUUAUCCCGUGAGUAGAAAGCUUCCGGAACACUGAUGACAGAAACCUCCAAUGUCACAUGACGGAUCAAACAACCUGCUGUGUGUGGCAGCACGCCACGGUGCGAAGGGCACUACUGGACGUGUGUGAUCGCCUGUCGCGGUAAUCUCUUCGGCCUCUUGCGAACCGGCAGCUAUCGUGCCAAAUUAGCCAAUCGAUGCACCCGACUGUGGAGGCAAUCAGGCAGUGCAAGAGGGGCAAGCAUGCUUUGUGCCGUGCACGGUUGUGCAAUUUCAGUUCAAGUGCCUCUGCCCCCUGCCGUGCGGGCCGUGCCGAUGAACAACACUUAGCUCAAACUUACAGAGCUCAAACUUUUGACUGGACGAUUUGAAUUGGUGAUUCAGAGUGUGAAACUCAUAACUUAGAGAUCUUGCUUUGCUUCAUGGUGAUGUACAGACCCAGGAAUGUAAACCAACAAUCCUUUUUUUUCUUUUUUCUUUUUUUUUUUUGAACGGAACGAUGACAAUGGUUACAUGUAUAGAUUGUCGCCUCAAAAAAAAUGCAUAGAUUGGAUCA